Molecule: long non-coding RNA, 1928 nt
Organism: Pipistrellus kuhlii (Kuhl's pipistrelle)
Lineage: Eukaryota; Metazoa; Chordata; Mammalia; Chiroptera; Vespertilionidae
Exons: 2
Source: RefSeq, a predicted model, not a curated record
GAAGAUGGAGACAACAGGACACUCAUUACCUCCUGCUGUGUCCCAUUUACCUUGAAGUGCCGAUGACAACAUUUGAGACCAGUAUUAGGGUUGGUCUCCCCUCCUGGCUGUGUUCCUGCAGUAACUGCACCUCUGUUCUAAGCAUGGAGCGUGCCUUUAUGAUCAAGCAGAAAUCUCCAAAGGCCCCCCCCCCCCCCCCCCAUCGGUGCAUUUCUCUGUGAAAGCUGAAGUCCCACGUGGGACCCAGCCUGUGCUAAAGAAGCAGUGCCCAUUCUGACUCAGUGCUUAAUGUGGCUUCCUGCAGAGCCUGGGACGACAGUGUGCAGCAACUGUCUUUAAACACCCUUCUUUCUGGAUGUUCCGAGGACAAAGCUCAGCCUGGAGCUUCUCUCACGUUUCAGUCCCCUGAACAAGGGCUUCUUGUUUCACUUACCAGCUGCUUAAAUCCUAAGAGGAUGGAAAUUCAAAAGGGCUUCCUUACGACUUUGAGAGAAGCUGUCAAAUGGUCAUUUUAAGUCUUCUAUAGUAUGUCUUUAAUUACUGGGUUUUUAAAUAAGUUACUUGUAACAUGGCUUUUGCAAACACGACUUCGCUAUGUUUAAUUUCUCUGACCCAGCUAAUAAGGUGGCUGUGAACCAACUCCAGCAACCUGUGAACUCACUGACGGGAAUUUUGUCCUGAUCGAACUCAGAAUUGCUUCAGCAUGACUUUCCCGAGAGCUUCUCCACAUCCUCACUCACCACAAUGGCAUUUGGCUCCACAUCUGUCCCUCCUGCCACGCUGAAUCCCAGACCCGAGCCUUCUUUCUUAGUCAAGACUAUGAAGCAGACAUCUUCUUUAUUCUAUUGAGAAGAAACAGAAGGAAAAAGUAUAUUCCCUGUGCCAAGAGGUACAAAUGAGUACAGACACAACCCCCCCGAGUGCUGCAGUCUAUCCCACGAAACCCAGUGGUUCCUCAGGAGCUGUUACAGGGUGUGAACUAGAGGAGCCAUGACUCCCCUGUCCUAUGCUCCCGGGUGGUGCCUUUACAGGUUUUCGAGGGUCCAGCCUGUGGCUACAGAACCACGGGAAGGAAGGUAUGGAUGGGACACUUUAGAAGCCAGUCUGUCCAAAUGGUGUCCUCCCAAAUUUGAUCAUGAAGGGAAUUCUUUAUUCUACAGUUAUGUCUAUAGUUCAGCAGCAAAGGGAGAUGCGUUAAGUGCCAAGAGCCAGGAAAAAGCACGCUGAGGCCAGGUGUUCUAUGCCCUGCGCCUCCCAUGCUCAGUUCACUCGAUUCCACAUGCAGUCAGUGAACUAGUACUCAUCAAAUACAAAGUAUGUUUAAAAGUAUAUAAAGUAUGUCACAAUAUUUAGAGUACAUGAAAGCUGUCAACUCCUCUAUUGGACAUUUUUAGCAGUGUUCUGAGGUUAAGUAACAAAAGAUUGUCCUGUGUUUCAAGCAUUGAUCUAAAGAUACCUUGCUAAGAGAUUUUAAAAUAAAAAAAUGAGCUGGGCUAAUUAUACUGAAUUUUCAGUUCUUCCACCCACACGCUAGAGAUGACUCACGUUUUAAAGAUCUGCUGGGUUUCCCAUCAAGUGAUAUAUAAUCCAUCAAUUUGAGGUGCUCUCAAACACAGCAAUAGAGGAAGAAUCUAAUAACCUUUAAGGAUUGCUUUGACAAGAGUGAAAAAGUUAGAAGAGAAAACCACCUCUGUAUUGUGCUGGGAAAGGAACCCAAUAUUUGAAAAGUGUUUAGGCCUUAUGACUUCUCUCAUAGAACCAAUCUUAGUCAUUUUACAUUUCUCUAAAGCAGCAUAUGUAGUCUUGGUUUGAAUGAACUAACAACAGAAUGACCUGCAGAACUUUUUGGGGGUUGGGAUUUCCACGUUAUGGGCAAAUUCGACCACGUGUGCUCAGACACCAUUCACUGGAGAGAAUGAUGACGGCUU